GAACCUAAGAAAUGCGGAAUCUAUACCCUUUGUGACAUACCUAACCGUUGCUUCGGCGGGCAGGGGAAGCCUCUCGCGGGCCUCCCCUCCCGGCGCCGGCCCCCACCACGGGGACGGGGCGCCCGCCGGAGGAAACCAAACUCUAUUUACACGACGUCUCUUCUGAGUGGCACAAGCAAAUAAUUAAAACUUUUAACAACGGAUCUCUUGGUUCUGGCAUCGAUGAAGAACGCAGCGAAAUGCGAUAAGUAAUGUGAAUUGCAGAAUUCAGUGAAUCAUCGAAUCUUUGAACGCACAUUGCGCUCGCCAGCAUUCUGGCGAGCAUGCCUGUUCGAGCGUCAUUUCAACCCUCAAGCACCGCUUGGUUUUGGGGCCCCACGGCACACGUGGGCCCUUAAAGGUAGUGGCGGACCCUCCCGGAGCCUCCUUUGCGUAGUAACUAACGUCUCGCACUGGGAUUCGGAGGGACUCUUGCCGUAAAACCCCCAAAUUUUUUACAGGUUGACCUCGGAUCAGGUAGGAAUACCCGCUGAACUUAAGCAUAUCAAUAAGCGGAGGAUAC
This 562-nucleotide ribosomal RNA is filed under the name Colletotrichum acutatum. Its description in RNAcentral is "eukaryotic LSU rRNA". The stretch from base 188 to 341 matches the Rfam family "5.8S ribosomal RNA". The record is from RNAcentral. Lineage: Eukaryota; Fungi; Ascomycota; Sordariomycetes; Glomerellales; Glomerellaceae.